This 313-nucleotide RNase P RNA is filed under the name Candidatus Cryptobacteroides onthequi. Its description in RNAcentral is "RNase P RNA component class A". It matches the Rfam family "Bacterial RNase P class A". Rfam says of the family: Ribonuclease P (RNase P) is a ubiquitous endoribonuclease, found in archaea, bacteria and eukarya as well as chloroplasts and mitochondria. Lineage: Bacteria; Pseudomonadati; Bacteroidota; Bacteroidia; Bacteroidales. The record is from RNAcentral.
GAGGUGGGACGUUCCGUCGCGGCACUUGUGCUGAGGAAAGUCCGGACAGGGUAGGGCACCCCGCUGCGGAAAGCGCAGAAGGGAGUAAUCUUUUGGCCGCCGUAGCAGAAAACUACCGCCCGCAAGGGUAAGGGUGAAAACGCGAGGCAAGAGCUCACGACGCUGUGCAGCGAUGUAUGGCGGGUACGGCACCGGGGCCUGCAAGACCAAAUAUACUGACAGAUGAGAGCGGCCCGCACGAUGUCAGGGGGUAGGUUGCGAAGAUAAAUGACGGAAUCAAAAACAGAAACCGGCUUACGGCCCCACCUUAUUU